GAUGAACGCUGGCGGCGUGCUUAACACAUGCAAGUCGAACGGAAAGGCCCAAGCUUGCUUGGGUACUCGAGUGGCGAACGGGUGAGUAACACGUGGGUGAUCUGCCCUGCACUUCGGGAUAAGCCUGGGAAACUGGGUCUAAUACCGGAUAGGACCACAUUUUGGAUGGUGUGGUGGAAAGUUUUUCGGUGUGGGAUGAGCUCGCGGCCUAUCAGCUUGUUGGUGGGGUAAUGGCCUACCAAGGCGUCGACGGGUAGCCGGCCUGAGAGGGUGUACGGCCACAGUGGGACUGAGAUACGGCCCAGACUCCUACGGGAGGCAGAAGUGGGGAAUAUUGAACAAUGGGCGCAAGCCUGAUGCAGCGACGCCGCGUGGGGGAUGACGGCCUUCGGGUUGUAAACUCCUUUCGCUAGGGACGAAGCGUUAUGUGACGGUACCUGGAGAAGAAGCACCGGCUAACUACGUG
This 466-nucleotide ribosomal RNA is filed under the name uncultured bacterium. RNAcentral describes it as "partial 16S ribosomal RNA". It matches the Rfam family "Bacterial small subunit ribosomal RNA", at positions 28 to 507 of the family's 1533-position model. The record is from RNAcentral.